AUUGAACGCUGGCGGCGUGCCUAACACAUGCAAGUCGAGCGGUAACAGGUGUAGCAAUACAUGCUGACGAGCGGCGGACGGGUGAGUAACGCUUGGGAAUCUGCCUGUUAGUGGGGGACAACCCGGGGAAACUCGGGCUAAUACCGCAUACGCACUACGGUGGAAAGCCGGGGACCGCAAGGCCUGGCGCUAACAGAUGAGCCCAAGUCGGAUUAGCUAGUUGGUAGGGUAACGGCCUACCAAGGCGACGAUCCGUAACUGGUCUGAGAGGACGACCAGUCACACCGGAACUGAGACACGGUCCGGACUCCUACGGGAGGCAGCAGUGGGGAAUAUUGGACAAUGGGGGAAACCCUGAUCCAGCGACGCCGCGUGGGUGAAGAAGGCCUGCGGGUUGUAAAGCCCUUUCAGUGGGGAAGAAAAGCCUCGAGCUAACACCUCGGGGUCUUGACGUAACCCAUAGAAGAAGCACCGGCUAACUCUGUGCCAGCAGCCGCGGUAAUACAGAGGGUGCGAGCGUU
Molecule: ribosomal RNA, 521 nt
Filed under: uncultured bacterium
Lineage: Bacteria
Description: bacterial SSU rRNA
Rfam family: Bacterial small subunit ribosomal RNA
Source: RNAcentral